This is a long non-coding RNA of Stegodyphus dumicola, 1970 nucleotides long. Lineage: Eukaryota; Metazoa; Arthropoda; Arachnida; Araneae; Eresidae. The record is from RefSeq and is a predicted model, not a curated record.
UAAAAAUUUCAAAAAAUUGUUUUAAAGGAAAGAUUGAAUAGAAGGUCCAUGAUAUAAGCUGAAUCAUUAAAUUAUUAAUAAAGAAUUAAUGAAUCAUUGUCUUAAAUUUUCCAAUAACAUACUUUAUUUCAGACAUAGUUCCCUGAUAAGGUUCACAUUCAUUGGUGCCUAAAUAAACAAAUAUUCAGAAUAUUUCAAAAUAUUUUCAUGAAAAGUCAUAGGAAAAAGAGUAACUAAAUUGUGUAUUUUGCCCAGCCAUGUUUUCAUUGGUCCACCUUUUCACUUAAGAAAAGUGUAUUCCACACAUUACUUGAACAUGGCACACAGAAUUGUUUUGUGUUUAGAAUCUGAGAUACCUAUCUACCAGCUGAAAUACAAUAAUUUGUACAGAAUGGAAUGAUGUCAUAUAAGUCUGAAAUUGUAUUAGAAUUUCUGAAAAUAAUUAUAAUAAUAAUGAUAAUCAUGUGAUGUGCAACAACUAAUAAAAAUGACAUAACUGUGGAAUAUUAUUGCGGAAUACAACUAUGGAAUAUUUUGGCUGUUAUUGACCUCCAAUAUGACUCUCUUUAUUAUGUGAUACUUUUGAAACACAAAAGCUUCAGCUCAUGACCUGCUAAUAAAAAAAACUGUAAACCAAAUUGUUUAAAUUGUGUGGUAAUAUAAAAUAAGGAUGUGCAAAAAUAUGAUCAAUUAUAAAUAUGGUCUUGCACCUUCAAGAAGUUGUAUCCCAAAACGAACAUCAUAAAGUACAUAUGCAUUUGUAUUACAGAACAAGUAACUUCACUUGUCAAAAUUCAGAUAGCUCUCUAUUGUAAUAAUGCAGAGUAACCUUUAAAGGACACACAAUGUUGAUAAAAAUCAGGCUUGGCAAGUUCCUUCCACAGUAUCAAAAAUCCAGGAAAAGACGAGCUGGAAGAAAUUUGUUUCCACUAAAGUGAAAGUAGCCAGAUGGAAUCAUCUUUUGGUAUGGGUCCAAUAAGCAGUCUGCAGAUCGAUUCUAUCUUGCUUUAUGGUGAUAUGAUGCAGAUAAUGACAUUUUGUAUCUUCUACUUUUAUAAAUGGAAUCUGGGCCAACAUGCUAUGUUAUCUGCUUAUUAUUAAUUGAUUAUAGGGUUACCACACAUCCUUCUUCUUCCAGAUGAGUCCAUAUUUUCAAGGAUUAAAUAAAUGCCCAAUGAAGGCUUUUCAAAAUCAAUACAAAUGCCUGGAAACUGAACCUAUGGAUUUUAAUUUCUAAAAAUCUUGGCUUUUAAUCACAAAAGCAAGCUAAAAAUCAAUUUCAAGAGAGAGAGGAUUGAAUUUUAGAAGUAGAGAAUGUACAUUUCCAAAAUGCUGUCAAAAAUGCAUAUGAUGAUUGCUUGCAAUAUCUGGAUAUAAAUAUAUCUAGAGCUAUUUAAAAAGUUUCAUUGCUUCAGGCAGAUGGCAUAUGAAAAAUUCUUGUAUGCAGAAACUAAAUUCAUCCUCAAAUACAUAUAAAGGGUAAAAGAAUCAACACUGGAGCUAGCAAACACUUUAGCCAUAUCUGCAAUCUAAAGAAAUUUGCAACUAUGUACAAAAAUGAAAAAAAAAAAAAAAUUAUGUUUUGUUUCAUUAAAAAGGUUGAGGGGGUUCAGUACAUCAAGCAUUCCAAAAGUAUCAAAUGACAAUCCGAGUUCCUCAAAAUUAUACAAUUCUUCUCUGCCAUUCCUGCCCAUAGUUGCAGUGUGUGAAAGACAAUUUUAUUUAAUUGAAAUUCAAUGAUCGAAAGAAAGGAAUCACCUUGCUUCAGAGUCAGUGAAUGAAUUAAACCAGAUAAGUAUAACUCUUAUCAUUUCAGUUGUGUUGCAUUCUAUUUGAACCUGCUAAAAUAAUCUAACAUUUUAAAGCAAAUUAAAUCAUUAGCAUUUGUUACUUAACUAUGUUAUAUAAAUGAUGUACUUUCAAAUGGAACAUGAAAGACUGAAAUUUGAUUAAAAAAUUUAAAAAAUGCA